UGGGAAUUCCUGCUCUGCUGUAGACAGCAA
RNAcentral lists this non-coding RNA (30 nucleotides) under Mus musculus (house mouse). Lineage: Eukaryota; Metazoa; Chordata; Mammalia; Rodentia; Muridae. The record is from RNAcentral.